Molecule: long non-coding RNA, 2717 nt
Organism: Setaria italica (foxtail millet)
Lineage: Eukaryota; Viridiplantae; Streptophyta; Magnoliopsida; Poales; Poaceae
Exons: 4
Source: RefSeq, a predicted model, not a curated record
UCCCUCGUGCUAUCUGCCCUCACCCCGGCCACCGAGCCCCGACGCCUCGAGUCCUCGACCUCACGCCCGCCCCCGCCCCCUCAGUCCUCCCGCACGCCCGUCUCCCCCAUCCCCGACGACGCUCGCGACGCCGUCGCCCCCAGACCCCUCAGACUCCUCACGCGCGCCUUCGUCCCUUAUGAUGCUCACGCCGCCCCACGACCCGUCACGGACUCCUCACGCUCACCGCCUCCUCACUCCUCGCCGACGCCCGUCCCCAACGAUGCUCGCACCGCCGCCUUCCACGACCAGGAUGCCCGCUCCGCUGUCACAAGAUGACGAAGACGAAGCAGUGCCCCAGAUCUCAGGCCCCUGCGCCAUCUCUUCCCCCUUCACCUCAUAUGGAGCUGUGCCCCAGAUCCAAAUUGGUCCAUCUCUGGCCUCCUGGACGGCAUGAGGAUAUGAAGGGCAAUGCGAGAACGCCAAUUGCCCGAUUCCAUCUCUUAUUCCGCAGAUUGUGGUGCAGGUAGCAUGUAUAGAUGGGUGAUUUACAUCCGAUUUGCAUCUACCUCUUCUGGACACCCUCAGGUCCUAUGCUGUUGAUACAGCCGUUGAGGUAAGCUAGUUUUUGCCAUUUUCUACGUUUCUUCCAGAAACUGGAUGCCUGUAUCAUUUUGCUUUGCGCCUACAACAGGAUAAACAUAACUUACAGAAUAGCAUGUGUGGGUAGGGUACUUGCCUGUGUGGUAUAUUUCUAGGUUACUUACGCAUUGACUAAUUCUGAUGAAGAAUUAUGUGAUUCUGUGCAAUUUACUAAAAAAUAUUCUCAUUUUGUAGGAAAUCAUGAAUCUGCCCAAGUGCCCAGAAUAUUAUUUUUUCUUUAGAUGUAUAUUGCUUUUGAGGUUUGACCAUAUGUAUCCUGCAGUCAAGUUACUAGCAGGAGCUCUGCCUUUCAUUAAAGAUAGAAAAAAGGUUUAUGUAUAACCAAAACAAAAGGGUGCUGAGACCAGGGUUCACAUUAUCACUGAUAGAUUUCUGAUAACUCCGAUAUAUCUGUUUUGCCUGCGGGGUCUGAUAGAAUUAAUUUAUCACCCAAAAAUAUUAGUGGUCCCCACUAUUUGUUAUUUUAUGAGCGCUCGCAUACACUUUUGGCCUACUUGCGGAUCCCCAUCCCUCAUUUUUCUACAUUAUUAUGUGUCUUUUUAAAAUUGCAUAGUUCGGAGAGAAUCUAUAUUUAUUUAUGCAUAAAUUGAGAGUUUAUUUUAAUAAAUUUUGUCCCAAAAAAAUUCUUUAUCACCAAUAGAAUUUCGAUAUAUCUGAUAUUCCUAUUUAUCAAUAACCUCCGAUAUUUUUUAUUUAUCGAUAAUGUAAACCCUGGCCAAGACCCACCCUGGAGCACUCACCGCCCAAAGCGGGGAAACACAGUAGGCCUCAAGCAAGGCCGCCUCUCGAUAGAGACACAAGAUAACUUUUGUUUGUGCUUUAUAACAAUCAAUUUGCAGGAUAACUAUGAUUGGUUGGGAGUGCUCAAGUGCUUCUCAACGUGAGCUAUUCAGUGAAGAUUUGGUUGGGCUGACAUCACAGAUUUGACAUUUGAGCUGCAAGAAUGGGGUUCCUGUUCUAGGGAUAAAUUUCUGUCACGAUUGUUAUAUUGAUUUGCAUUUUGCAAUGAAGUCCAGUUGUAAAUCAAGCAAAUGAUCUAUACAUGAAAAUAAAUGAUUUGUGAGAACAAUGGAUUCCAUAUUGCCAUGGUUUAUGUGGAUGUAAGAAUUUAUGGGUAAUUGGAGGCGGUUCAGAGUUCUAUUGGACAUAAUCUAAUCUGCUAGAAGGUUCAAAGUUCUGUUGGUGUCGAGGCCAGUAGUGCUUCUUAUAGUUGUGUCCCAGUUUGAAUGGAAGCAGCACCUUGUCAAUGAGUUGGAAUCUACAGCUCGCAACCAGAAACAUAUUUCAAGUAGAGAAGAGUUCGUCAAGGAUAGGGCGAGUCACACUUUGUAUCUGAAUGCAGAUCAAACUGAAUAUCUUUUUUAUUCAGAAUCUAUCAUUUUGAUCUGAAUGCAGAUCAAGUCUGCUGAACAUUUUGUGCCUGUUGCACUAACAAUUCCAUGCUUCUGAAAUUUUGCUUUUUGCACAAUGUGGCUGAUCCUUCUAUCAUCUAUCAUAAUAUGAAUUUCUUGCUCUUUUUUUAGCUAUGGAAUUUUCUGUUACUUAAAUUAACUUUCUGCAGCCACGAGACACCAAGUGCUGUCAUAGAGUUGUGCAAUCAUUUUCUCCUGUCGAUGCAAUGGCCUUUUCUUGAGGUGGCUUGCAAGGGUGCUGCUGCUUUGUGUCGUACGUGGCUGCAUCUGCCAUCUGUUCAUGUAACGAUAAGGAGGUGUGGCUCAUGGAAUGGUGAAGGCAUGGCUUCUGCAUCCUUGAUGUCCGUGAUGUUGUUUGCAUGAUCUCUUGCGUAAGCUGUUCAAUAUUUGCAGACCAUGAGUUGACAGCAUCAUUAUUUGGAGAAAAAAUUUAGAAGCUGCUCAGUAUUUGCAGAUCAUGAGUUGAAGCUGUCAGUUAAGACUCGUGGCCGGCUCAUGGAGUCUGAAUUCUUGAAGCAGUUCAUAUGUUGACUCAGCGAUAGUAGUAGUAAGGCAAAUUGAUUUCUGAAUUGUACUGUGAACUAAGUUUGUUCUGUAGCCAUAUAGAAUUAGCAUAAUAAUGCAUACACAGAUGGGAAUGUAUAAUAACCAAGUUUGUUGAGA